CCUACGGGUGGCAGCAGUGGGGAAUAUUGGACAAUGGGCGAAAGCCUGAUCCAGCCAUGCCGCGUGUGUGAAGAAGGCCUUCGGGUUGUAAAGCACUUUCAGUGGGGAAGAAAGCCUUGGGGCUAAUACCCUCGAGGAAGGACAUCACCCACAGAAGAAGCACCGGCUAACUCCGUGCCAGCAGCCGCGGUAAUACGGAGGGUGCGAGCGUUAAUCGGAAUUACUUGGCGUAAAGCGCGCGUAGGCGGUCUGAUAAGCCGGUUGUGAAAGCCCCGGGCUCAACCUGGGAACGGCAUCCGGAACUGUCAGGCUAGAGUGCAGGAGAGGAAGGUAGAAUUCCCGGUGUAGCGGUGAAAUGCGUAGAGAUCGGGAGGAAUACCAGUGGCGAAGGCGGCCUUCUGGACUGACACUGACGCUGAGGUGCGAAAGCGUGGGUAGCAAACAGGAUUAGAUACCCGGGUAGUC
RNAcentral lists this ribosomal RNA (465 nucleotides) under Vreelandella stevensii. RNAcentral's name for it is "partial 16S ribosomal RNA". It matches the Rfam family "Bacterial small subunit ribosomal RNA", at positions 338 to 795 of the family's 1533-position model. The record is from RNAcentral. Lineage: Bacteria; Pseudomonadati; Pseudomonadota; Gammaproteobacteria; Oceanospirillales; Halomonadaceae.